GCACAGCUUUCUUUGAGAAGUCGAUGGUGCUCUUUGAAAUAUAAAGGUAUUGUCAUUGAGCAGGCGGGUCUCUUUCUUGGUAACGACGUGAGGGAAGGAGGAAUCAGCUAAAGGUUUGCACCAAACCUGUUUGACCUCCCUUUGCCCUGUGAUACAGCGAAUAUGGAUAAAUUGGGGAGUACUGGAGGUGGUUCUUUCAAGCCGGAUAAAUUUGACAAAAUGAAAAAUCAAGUGAAACCAGGUGAGCUGACAUGAGAGCCAUGUUUUUGAAAUGGAGCUUAUUGCAUGGCCUGCUCUGGAUGGUACACUUGAUUGACCUCAUGUGGUAGUACGUUUUUUGACUGGAGCAGAAGCCACAACUCCUGCUGCAUGGUGCAGUAACUGAAAAGGAACAAGGUCUUGGCAGCUGCAGAAAACAUGGAAGUGACAUAUGUCUGUGUCUAAAUUUGGUUUGUAAGAUUGUAGCAGUUUGAGUUAGAAUGGGUUCUAGUACAGCGGCCCAGUUUAUUGAAACUCUGGCACACUUCAGCUUUGUCAUUCUUGUAAGGUACAACUCGAAGGUGUUAAAUUUGUUCUAAAAGUGAGUGCCUAAAUCCCAAUGCAAAUAACUCACAUUUCUGUACGUGGCUUUGGGGUUUCAGAUAUCAGAUAUGUAAAUUAUAUUUUGUAAGCCUUGUUUCUAUGUAAAUAAACUUUAACUGGAAAGUUCUUACUCUUUUGUAGUCGUCUUGUCCCUGAACAAAAUUAAAUUCAUAAUUUUAAGGCAACACCAUACUUUACUGUAUGCAACAUGUUUUCAUUAUAAAAAUUGAACAUUUCAUAUAAUGUUUAGCUUGGUGUUCUGUUCUUGAAGCUGUAUACUCUAUAGUUGUAGUGAUUCUGUGCUUUGCUCCAUAACCUAUUGGGCUAAAUAAAUUUAGGUUCAAGUUCCAGCUCCUGUACUUAAAAUUUUGCCAGGUCUGUAAAUGGCUUUAGCCAUUCUUCAUAUUUAAGAUUUUCUGUCAGUUUCUAGUCUUGUAAUUUUAGAAGAACUGAUAUAUGUGUGUCUUGUGAUGGUCUUCAUUUUGAUGCUAUAGUGCCCUAAAAUUAUUUGGGGCAUUAGUCUUGGAUAAAAAGAAAAAAUAAAAUACAAGUCUCAAAAUCAA
Molecule: long non-coding RNA, 1145 nt
Organism: Polypterus senegalus (gray bichir)
Lineage: Eukaryota; Metazoa; Chordata; Cladistia; Polypteriformes; Polypteridae
Exons: 5
Source: RefSeq, a predicted model, not a curated record